RNAcentral lists this long non-coding RNA (10298 nucleotides) under Salvia miltiorrhiza (redroot sage). Its description in RNAcentral is "long non-coding RNA (SMIL_LNC007243)". Lineage: Eukaryota; Viridiplantae; Streptophyta; Magnoliopsida; Lamiales; Lamiaceae. The record is from RNAcentral.
UACAGUUUACCUAAAUACCCUUUAGCGUCAUCUUAGAAAGAGUUCGAGGAUUUUUUAGGACAGUAACUCAGAUUAAUUUGGAAAUUAUGACAAUAACUUUCGAACUUGUAAAAAUAGGACACUAAUUUUUUUUAGAGUAAAAUAGGACACUAAUUAAUAAAUGUUACAUCCGCAUGACAUUUUUCGGUCAAUUAUCAGCCGAGAAAUAUCCUAUUUUUACGACGCUUAUUAAUUAGUGUCCUAUUUUGCUCUAAAAAAAAAUUAGUGUCCUAUUUUUACAAAUCCGAAAGUUUUUGUCAUAAUUUCCAAGUCAACAUAAGUUAUUGUCCUAAAAAAUCCAUUGAUUCUCUUAGAAACAAUUAAGGUUAAUCAAUUUCAAAUUUGAAAUUUAAGAUUUGAUCGGUUCACGUAAUUUUUAAAUUUAUUUGUUCAUUAAAAAAAAAUCAUAUUCGAAUUACAUAGCUAUCCGUGGUAAUUACAUAUUCUUAUUUCGACAAAUUACCUGGUCAUUUCUUUUUUCUUUUUUUGAUAAAACACUUUGUCAUUAUCACUUCAAAUUUUAUUCUAAUCUCAAAACCUAUUGGGAUCUCCAUUAUACUCCCCCCAUCCUUGAAGUAAGUUCCUCUUUUUUUUUUUUUCUUUUUGGGACGUCCCCAAAUAGGGAUGACAACGGGCCGGAUCUGGACCGGUCUGGACCAAUACGAUCCAGAUCCGUUUUCAUAUACUAGAUCCAGAUCCAGAUCCAGAUCCGUGGAUCUGAAAAUUUUGGAUCCAGAUCCAGAUCCGCGGGUCCACGGGUCCAGAUCCAUGGAUCUACUAUUUUUAAAUUAAAUUAAAAAAAUUUCACAAAAUCAACAACAUCUAAUUUCCAUCAUGAAAAAUAUAACACAAAAUACUUUUAUCUAAUUACUUUUAGUUUUUAUUCUUUUAAUAUAAUUUAUUUAUUAUUUUUAAUUUAGUUAAUAUUAUUAGUAAACUAAAUAUAAAAUAUAAAAAAUAUAUAUAAAAUAAAACGGAUCCACGGGUCGGAUCUGGGCCGGAUCCGGAUCUAAAAUUUCAAGAUCCAGAUCAGAUCCGUUUUCAAAAUGAGAUCCAGAUCCAGAUCCAGAUCCGUCGGGUCCGAAAAAUUGAGAUCCAGAUCCGUAAAAACGGAUCUGGAUCCACGGAUCUGGACCGGGUCCAAGAUCCACUGCCAUCCCCUAUCCCCCAAAUAAGUUCUUCUUUCUUUCUUUCUAUUUUUGGACAACUACCACACCACUAAUAAUACUUUAUUUAUUCUUACUUUUCACUUUUUCACCACUCUCAAUAUUAAUUAUAACACUUUUUCACCUUUUCAUCACUUUCAAUACUAAUUAUAACACAUUUUUCUCCACUAUCAAUACACUUACCAUUUUUUCUUAAAAUUUGUGUCGUCCCCAAAGAGAAACUUAUUUCAGGGACGGAGGGAGUAUUUAAGUUACUAGUACGUGCUCGCUCGUGCGAUACACGACCAUCAUCGAAAUUGAAUGAUAAUUUAAAUAAAUAAAUAAAUAAAUAAAUAAAUAUUAAAUAUAAUUUAUAUAUAAGUAAAAUACAAACAUGAAUCUCAAUAAAAAAAAAUUAAAUUAUCCACAACAUUAUCUCGAUAAAAAAUAUGAAUCUGAAAACAUUCGAAUUUUCAAAUUUUAAAAUAGCAAUUAAUUGAAUUAAUUGAUAAUGUGUAUAAAUAUAUGAAUCAUCAAAUAUCAAAAGCAAGUAUAAAUGAUAAUGAGUUUCAUUAUGGAUCAUAUAAUAUUCUAAGAUUUACAAAAUAUUUAUUUAUAUAUAAUUUAAUAUAUUUUUUGAAUACAUAUUUUGUAAGGAAUUGAUCACGCUGCAGUUGCAGCAAACCAACUCGAUCACAGCAACAAGAGUCGCAGCAAUAGACCUCUCAACUCACAAAGCUAAACACUCAAGUUCGUGAUGAAAAUUAAAGCAAUAAACAAAGAAAGGUGACACCAGAUUUUUACGUGGUUCAAUUGUUAAAACUACAUCCACGGAAGAUCACACAAGACCUUUCACUAUCACGAUCAAGAUGUUACAAAGAAUUACACAACAAAGAGCUAGAGAUGACAGCUCACAAGCCUAACUUAAGACUACUGUUUCUCAAUCUCUCUUUUCACUCUUUUUCUCAGAGAAUUCAUAAAACUUCUAACCUAAUCUAUGAGGAUUACAGAAUGUAUUUAAACUCAUAAAAUGAUCAAGUAAUGAGCUCACAAACUGAGCAGCAAGAUGCUAUGUGCGAAGUUGAAUUCUGUUAGUUUGUUUUCAACAAACUAAAUUCCUGCUUUGCACUUAAGCUCCUCAAUUGUUGAUAAUUUGCUUUUAACCCUUCACUUAAUAGCUGCAAUUAUGAAUUCACAUUCUACAUAUUUAAAUACUAUUUAUGCGGUCAUUUUGUUUAAAUAUAAAUUUUAAAAUAAAGUUCCUAUCAACGUCCAAAGAUUUGAUUUAUUCUAUCGGUGAGUCAUAAGUGUAUACAUGCAUGCAAUAACAGACCUACGAAUUUAAUUCUAGUCAGACAAGAUUUCAUUGAAAUUUUAUGAUCGGACGAAUUUAUAGAAUUUUUAAAAGAAUCACAUAAAAUAUAUAAGUAAUAAAAAUAAAUGACUUGGCGGCUGCCGAGGGUGCUUGGCCUUUAAAACCGCCCCUGAUGCCAUUUAAUUUGAAUAAAUAUGGUAAUAAUUAUUUUUAUAUCCAUUAAAAUUUUUAUUUAUAUUAAUUUAUCGAUAAAUAUUUUUUAUCAAUUGAUAAGUGAAAAAAUAAAGGGUUCAACGUGAGAUAUGUAUCUUUAUUAUUGUGCCCAAUAUCAGUUGCUAUAGGCGGUUUGUUAUUGUGGCAGCAAGUGGGAAAAUAUUUCUUAGUUUCAUUUGCAACUAGAAGUAUUCGUGUGGUUUCAAGUAUUGGUUAUUUCAGCUGUGUUUGUGUAUUUGUAGUAAUGGUGUUAUUAAUAAUUGUUAGUUCAACUAAUUUAAAGUACUGGUGUAAUGAUCGAAUCUUACAACAUUAGUACUGGUGUAAUGGAGUAUUUUUUUUAAAUAAAAAAUAUUUCUCUUAAAAAAUAAAAUAUUACCCCCUCUAUCUCACUUCAAAUGACCCAAAAAAAUUGGGCAUGAAAAUUAAGAAAUGUGUGAUAAAGGUGAAAAGUGGUGGUGGGACAACUCAAAAAAUAGUGUUAAAUACCUAAUGUUAUUUCUAAAUUUGGGUUGAGUCAUUUAAAGUGGAACAACUCAAAAUAGAAAUUGGAUCAUUUGAAGUGGGACGAAGGGAGUAUAAAUUUUAUAUAAGCAAUAGCCGAAUAUAUGGAUUGAAAUUGAUGCAACACAUUACAUAUAAUUUUCUUUUUUAAUUUGUUACACCAAAGAAAGGAAAAACGCACUCACACUCUAACCUUUUAGGUGACUGGAACCCAAUAAUAUAUAACAAAAUUUUACGUAUUUAUUUUAUAUAAUUUGUUCUCCUUCUUUCUUUCAUGUUUCUAUUUUAUAUAUUUUUUUUCUUAUUUAUUGUACAUUAACAAUUUCACUAACUAACAGAUUUUUUUUUCUAACUUAUAUAUAUACUAAAAACAAUGGGUCCAGAUUACUAAAAAAUUUGUUUAACUAAAGUAAUUAUUUACAGUAUAAUGAAUACAAUAAAAAAAUAUAAUUUGUGAGGGAUAUAUUUGUACUCUGAAAUGAUAAUAUUUUCAAAUGAGCAUUGAUAUGUUUACUGUUUAACUAUGUAUAUAAAAAUAAUACUACGUGAAAUUUUCUAAAUUUUAUGACUCCUUAAUAAUAUUUAGUCUUAACAUAAUUAGUACUCCCUCCGUCCCAUAAGUGCACACUUUCCUUUUUGGGUGUCCCAUAAAGCACAUUUCAAAAAAUGAAAUAUUUAUUGCAUAAGAUACACUAAUUAUUGCACUUAAUUAUGGUAUAAAUAAGAGACAAAAAAACCCUAAUCUUAUUUUUGCCAAAUUUCGUCCUCUCCGCCUCUCUCACUCUCUCGUCUCUCUCUCUCAAUCCAGCUUCUCCGGCGAGCCUCCGACCACCGCCGAGCACCCCUCGCCUCUCCGACCACUGACGGGGGCAGAGGGCCGAGACCUAGCCCUAGCCCCGCCGAACAGCGCGGCGCCCCUCCCCCUCUCUUCUCCUUCUCCGCCGCCGCCUGCUUCUCCUUCUCCAACCGACGGCGGCUCUGGGGCCGCGCCGCGACCGCCUUCCUUCUUCCCCUCGCAUCUCUCUCUGUCCGACUCCUCUCUCUUCCCCUCUCGGUUCUCCCUCGUCUCUCUCGCUCAUCUCUCUCUCGACCUCUGUGUUUGCCGCCGCCGCCUUCUCCGACCGAACAGCCGCCACCCAUUCUCUUCUCUUCUCCGACAGAUCUGGUUCUAGUGGCUAGGGUUUGCAGGGCGGCAGAGCUGGGGGCUAGGGGCUAGGGUUUGCAAGCGUUCGAUUUUGGGCAAGACCCCCUCCGCCUUGGUUCUGGAAUCCUCCAUUAUCGCCGCCCAUCUCCUCGCCCCAAUUCUGCCACCGCUCAUCUCCUCGCCCCAAUUGUUUGUGGGUUCGAUUAUCUCUUGGUUUUGAUUUGCAAUUGUUUCUGGGUUCGAUUUGCAAUUGUUUAUGGGUUCGAUUUUUCAAUUUGCAAUUUUCAAUCUGUCCAAUUGUUUCUGGAUUGAUUCAAUCAGUUUUUGAAUCAGUUUCUGCAGUCACAAAUUUGCAAUUGUUUAUGGGUUCGAUUUUCAGCGGCAUAGCAGAGGGAAUCGACGGUCGUGGUCGACGGCGGCGGCGGCGCUGGUGGUCGGCGGUGGUCGGAGCAGAUGAGAGAGAGAGAGUUGGGGUUUAAUAAAGACAUUAAUGAAAUUACAAAAAUUUAAAAUUCAACUAAAACAUUAAAUAGAAAUAAAUAAAUACACUAAAUUAAAACUAAUCAACUACACUAAUAGUGGUGAGCCACAACACUUUAACAACUAAUCUACCUUUCCUUAAUCUCCGUGCCCAAAAGACCUAUGUCUUUAUUAAUGGGACGGAGGGAGUAAUAUUUAGUCUUAACAUAAUUAGUACUCUCUACGUCCCAUUAAAGUUGGCCACAUUUCCUUUUUGGUUGUCCCACUAAAGUUGGUCACUUUCUAAAAAUUGAAAUAUUUAUUUUAGUUAAGUCCAAUUAGUUCAUUUAAUUAAAAAUUUCUAGUUAAAUCUAAACCCUCUUUAUUUAAAAACACACACACAAAACACACACUAACACACGCACACAGCCAACCCCCCCUCCCCCAGCGCCGACCCCCUUCUCUUUUCUUCUCCGGCGGCCGCCCCAUCCCCUGACCUCCCUCUCACUCUCCCUCGCCUCUGCUCUCUCAGGAUCUGGCCCUCCACCGCCUCCCUUCACCUAGUGUCGCUCCACACCUCCAUUUCUUCCACCCGCGCCGCCUUCCUCCACCUCCUCGCCUUCCUUCACCCGCCUCCGCCUCCGCCUCCCUCCACCUAGCGCCACUCCACAGCCUCCAUUUGGGGCUAGGGUUUUUCCUCUCCGCCUCUUCGAUUUGGGGCUAGGGCUUUGCCUUCGCCGCCGAUUUGGGCUAGGGCUUUGCCGCUCCGCCUCUCCAGUCGGCUGCAUCUGCGAUUUGGGGCUAGGGCUUUGCCGCCGCCGCCGAUUUGCCUCUCCAGGCAGCGCCGCUUCCUUCGGGUUUGGAGAUUGAGGAGAUUUCGCUGCGAUUUGGGCGAGCGGCUGAAAAUCUAAGCCUAGGUCCGCCGAUUUGGGGGUGAGCGAUGGAGUGUCGAUUGGGUUAUCUCUUUCAUUUUUUCGGUUUUUAGCUGAACAUUGAAGCUUGGUUUGGGUGAGGCAGGUGAUGCGAAGCCUGGAUUAAUUUUUGAUUGAAGCCUUUUUUUGGCUUUGGCUGAAAAUCGAAGCCUAGCUUUGAUGGGCGCCGAAGCUCGCCUGUCGUUGAUUCGCCUGUGAAGGUGAAGUUUGGUUUGGGUGAGGGGCGAGCGGUGACCACCGGCGCCGGCGUCGCCGGCGCCGUCGCCGUUGCCAUUACCAGAUGCAGUGAAGUUAGGUUGAAGAAGAUAAAGUUAGGUUGGAGGAAAUUUUAAUUAAUUCAUUAAUUUUGAUGGACCACAUUUAAUUAAACACUAACUAUCCCUUUCUUAAUCUCCAUGCCGAAAAGAAUGUGGCCAACUUUAAUGGGACAGAGGGAAUAUUAAUUAAUUCAAACGUUUAAGUUCUAUGAUGGUAAAGAAGAAAAAAUAAUAGAAUUACAAAUACAUAAUUUAUCUAUCAACAAUCGUAUUUUUUUUUUAAUUUUUAAGAAAAAAAAAAUGUAUACCCUAUAGAACUAUAUAUUGCAUCCACAAAAUUACCAUUUUAAUUUAAAUUUUUGCAAAUGUUCUUCGUGAAAUACAUCAAUAAAAUAUUGGGUUAAGGUACAAAUGCCCCCCUAAACAAGACACCCCUCGAGCGCAUCCCUCUCCAUUUUCUCGAUGUUGGCCCAAAUAAACUCCUAGAGUCCAAAAAUAGGGUACACUUAAACUCAGGCGUUAAACGACCGUCUAACGCCGUGCACUUAAAUUUUAAAUUUUUGUUUUAUUUUCUCGUGGGGUCCACUUUCAUCACAACGAUCCAAAUCAACCACCUUCAUCUUCUUCUUCAUCUCUCCUAUCAUACUCAGUCGAUACUCCCGAGUACCCGCCUUAUCUCUUCAACAUUCCCACCACCACCACCGCCGCCACAGCUUUCCUCCCACAAUAAACCCCCAUCUUCUCAUCAUCAAUUCCAUUAUCAUCAUUCCUGCACGACCAACCAUACAGAUCCUCAGCCAGUUCCGCAACGCGCAGUUCCCCUCAAUCGAGAGCGAAGACGCCGCAAUGACAAAAGCCAUUCUAGCCGUCUAUUGUGUAUUGAAUCGGGUUAACACAAAUUAAUAUGCAAGUGCACGUAGUUUCAAUAAGUAAUAAAAGGAAGUAUUCCAAGAUCGUCUCCACAUGGAAUGCAAAAUAAAACUUAAACUAUCUCAGCUACAAAGAAACAAGCAAUUUAAGAACUACUUGAAAGCUAGAAAUUAAUUAAUGCUUUAAAUCAAGAUGAUGGUUUUCUAAUAAACUAAAACUAAACUAAGGUUGGUAAAAAUCUUAACUAAAGUUAACUAGACAGAAGAUAGAAGAUUAAACAAAGAAAAUAUAUAAGAGAAACGGANGCAAACUCUCAUUCCCUUCUAGAAUUUCAGUUUCAUGUAACACCCCAUCAGACUCCCAACCACCUUCACCAUAGCCACUAACACCCUCACUGCCCUCACAAUCACCAUCAUUGCCCUCACCCUCCCCAUCACUGCCCUCAAUAACACCCUCACCCUCUGUACAACCCUCAAUGCCCUCACCAUGUUUACUAACUGUCUCUUUACUCCCACCCUCAACACACACAGUAACAAUCAUGUGUUUACCCAUUUCAUUCAACAUAUUCAUUACCCCUUUGUCGUCUUUUAUUAGUUUAUGUGUUUGAGUUGUAGGGACACGAUAGUACAGGUGUUGUGGUAAAAUCGGAUUAACACAAUUUAAUACGCAAGUGCACGUAGUCUCAACAAGUAAUAAGAGGAAGUAUUCCAAGAUCGUCUCCACAGGGAAUGCAAAUUAGAACUUAAACUAUCUCAGCUACAAAGAAACAAGCAAAAUAAGAACUACUUGAAAACUAGAAAUUAAAUAAAGCUUUAAAUCAAGAGGAUGGUUUUCUAAUAAACUAAAAUUAAACUAAGGUUGGUUAAAAUCUUAACUAAAGUUAACUAGACAGAAGAAAAAAAAUUAAACAAAGAAAAUAUAUAAGAGAAACGGACUUGGAUUGAUGAAUCCCACUAUAUCUUUCACACUGAACAGAAUGCUGCAGCAAUAUUUAAGCAAAAUCUCACAGUUACGAAAAUUCACAAACAUUCAUAGAACUUUCUCAAAUCCUAUGGUUUCUCAUUCUACAACUUUCUCGAGCAUAUUCCUAUGCUAAAUCAAGCUUAGAACAACAGAUACACAGCUCCAAUUUCUAACCGCACACAAGGUGUUGGGAACCUUGUGGAAUAUCCUAACCCUUGUUUUGAUGAUACCAAAAUUCAUAGGACUUAAAUGUAAUAGACUAGAAUCGUUUUUGAACUCAAGUGUUAGAGUUCGUUUCUAGUUUAGUUGCGGUGUCAAAGACUGAAGACUGAAGAACGAAGACUGAAGACUGAANNNNNNNNNNNNNNNNNNNNNNNNNNNNNNNNNNNNNNNNNNNNNNNNNNNNNNNNNNNNNNNNNNNNNNNNNNNNNNNNNNNNNNNNNNNNNNNNNNNNNNNNNNNNNNNNNNNNNNNNNNNNNNNNNNNNNNNNNNNNNNNNNNNNNNNNNNNNNNNNNNNNNNNNNNNNNNNNNNNNNNNNNNNNNNNNNNNNNNNNNNNNNNNNNNNNNNNNNNNNNNNNNNNNNNNNNNNNNNNNNNNNCAGAAUGUUGUAGUAAACUCCCAGCAACGCUUAAGUCCCUACACAAAACCAACAAAUCUCUCAUUUGUCUAUUUUUAUAUGAGAUUAGCUAACUUUGGCAUCAAUUUUCAUAUAUCUCAAUUCUCAAACACCCAAAAACGAAAGAGCGAAACGACAAUAAAACGUAAAAGAAAACCUAAAGAACUACACAAAACAUGCAUCAAACUCUUCUUAAAAGCUUAAAAGAAUGAAUAAUAACUCUUAAUACAAGAGUUAUCACCGCCCUCUCCUCUCCUUCAACCUCCUCUACCUCUCACCACAACCUUCCCCGAAACAUUCCCACUUCAUUCACAAGAUACCAAGCGAACUCCGCCCCUCGGCUCGCCUCCGCGUCUCAGAACCAUAACAAGUUCAAAAGAGUCGUUUCAUUUUUCAGAAAGCUGAACCUCCUGAGAAGCAGACAUGAAAUUCAGGGCCAAGGAAACCUCUCCACCGCUACGCAGCUGCACCACAUGAUCUCCGAGAGAAAGCGCCGCUAGAAGUUCAACGAAAGCUUCUAGAUGCUCAGAUCUUUCAUCCCUCAUGGAACCAAGGUACCUAAUUCACCAUUAUCGAUCUUCCAAUAAAAAAUCCUUCCAUUUUUUUCGGGGGGAAAUCUCAUGAGUCGUUAUCUUGAUGCAGAAGGAUAAGGCGUCUGUGCUGAGCAGCACCACCGAGUAUCUGAGCUCGUUGAAGUCACAGGUGGCGAAGCUGGCCAAGUGGAAUCUGCUUCUUGAAUCGUAGAUUAACUCGAUACAGAAAUUAGAAAGUGACGCAGACGAAGCGGGGAGUUCUUCGUCCGGUGGUGAAAAGAUUAUUGUGGAGAUCGCGCAGGUUUCAUCGUCGUCGGAGGAGGAAGCAAGUCGUGUUAGAUCAGUUGCAGUUCAGUAAUUAAACAUAUAUGGAGGUGGGACCUACAAGAAAAAAAAAUUAGUAAAAUUUAAGUUGACGGCGUUAGACAGCCGUUUAGAGUCUGGGUUUAAAUGUACCCUUUUUUUGGACUCUGGGGGUGUAUUUGGGCCAGCAUCGAGAAUGAGGAGGGAUAUGCUCUAGGGAUGUAUUGUUUAGGGGGCAUUUGUACCUUAAGCCUUUCUUUUAUUAGUGAUCAAUGUAUAAUUAUUACGUAUAUUUUCUUUCACAAAAACUUAUCUGCCGCCUCACAAAUUGAGCGCUCACCACAUGCGCGCGGAUCUUGGUGCGACCCGACCCGGAUCCGGGUCCAUCAUAUAAAAAAAUUUCCUGAAAACCUACCAUUUUCUUAUUUCUCCUUAUUCUCCCUCUGUAGCCGCUCUGUCCGUCUUCUCCCUCUCUCCCACUUUCCAGAAUCAAGAUUGUCAAUUAAUGUCUUAUCUGUAACGAAUGAUUUGCAAGAGCGACGUUGGGAAAAGGAGCGAACAGAGCGAUCGCGACGCUGUUCGGCGAAGCGCACGAUUUGGUGAAUCUGACGCCAAAGAAAGUGGAGGUCGUUUUGAUCUUACGCCAGCAGGUGUAGUCGAAGGCGGUGUGAAAUUUCCAUAGAUUCAUGGCGNUUGCAGGGUUCGUACACUCUGACAAUGAAAAUGGUGGAUGGGAACAACAACCAGUUGACAUGCAUUACAGUCGACUUCAGCAUCGGUUUCAUAGCAGAAGAGAAGUUGGCUGAUAUGUAAAUGCUCGAGAAUAUUCCUAUAUUUCCUGGCUUUAAUGUAUAGAAGACUUGUUUCUAUGUAUGAUGUCCGAACCCUUUCACGUUUGAGUAUCUGUGUAUGUACGCCGACGGUAAAGACUUUUAAUAAAUUUUACAUCCCCAUUUUCUGGUUUUGGUUGAUUCUUGAUAGUAUAUAACUAUUUGAGUGCCUAGG